AACGAACGCUGGCGGCAUGCCUAACACAUGCAAGUCGAACGAGAUCUUCGGGUCUAGUGGCGCACGGGUGCGUAACGCGUGGGAAUCUGCCCUUGGUUCGGAAUAACAGUUGGAAGCGACUGCUAAUACCGGAUGAUGACGAAAGUCCAAAGAUUUAUCGCCAGAGGAUGAGCCCGCGUAGGAUUAGCUAGUUGGUGUGGUAAAGGCGCACCAAGGCGACGAUCCUUAGCUGGUCUGAGAGGAUGAUCAGCCACACUGGGACUGAGACACGGCCCAGACUCCUACGGGAGGCAGCAGUGGGGAAUAUUGGACAAUGGGCGAAAGCCUGAUCCAGCAAUGCCGCGUGAGUGAUGAAGGCCUUAGGGUUGUAAAGCUCUUUUACCCGGGAUGAUAAUGACAGUACCGGGAGAAUAAGCUCCGGCUAACUCCGUGCCAGCAGCCGCGGUAA
This 448-nucleotide ribosomal RNA is filed under the name uncultured bacterium. Its description in RNAcentral is "partial 16S ribosomal RNA". It matches the Rfam family "Bacterial small subunit ribosomal RNA", at positions 29 to 523 of the family's 1533-position model. The record is from RNAcentral.